ACGUUUGUGCUGACUAUUGAUUGGCUAAAAUAAAAACGUAAACAAACACGCCCACUAUCUCGUAAAAAUGACUAUGACUGACAAUAGUCCGACAACCGUGUUAAAACAACAAAAUCUUGGGUUAACAAUCGGCGUGUCAUGUGCUCUACUGCUGCUGUAUCUGACAUUAGCCAUACUUGUGUAUCGACCACGGAGAACUCGUUCACAGGAUCCAGCGCCCUCUACAUCCGAAGUUAUGUAGUCCAGAAAAUGUAAAGUUGAUUCAAUCCUGCAAUGACUUGGCCCGGUCUGACAACUCUGACGAACGGUUACAACGUUGUUAUAGAUCAGGGAAAUAUAAUCAGGCUGGAUCGAACUCG
Molecule: long non-coding RNA, 359 nt
Organism: Ruditapes philippinarum (Manila clam)
Lineage: Eukaryota; Metazoa; Mollusca; Bivalvia; Venerida; Veneridae
Exons: 2
Source: RefSeq, a predicted model, not a curated record